This 420-nucleotide ribosomal RNA is filed under the name uncultured bacterium. RNAcentral's name for it is "partial 16S ribosomal RNA". It matches the Rfam family "Bacterial small subunit ribosomal RNA", at positions 361 to 773 of the family's 1533-position model. The record is from RNAcentral.
AUAUAGGACAAUGGGGGCAACCCUGAUCCAGCCAUGCCGAGUGUGUGAAGACGGUCAUGGGAGUGUAAAGCACAUUAAGUGGGGAGGAAGGGCUUUAGGUUAAUACCCUGAUGAUUUGACGUUACCAACAGAAGAGGCAACGUCUAAUUAUGUGCCAGCAGCCGCGGUAAUACAGAGGGUGCAAUCGUUAAUCGGAAUUACUGGGCGUAAAGCGCGCGUAGGUGGUUCAGUAAGAUGGGUGUGAAAUCCCCGGGCUUAACCUGGGAACUGCUUUCAUAACUGCUGAGCUAGAGUACGGUAGAGGGUAGUGGAAUUUCCUGUGUAGCGGUGAAAUGCGUAGAUAUAGGAAGGAACACCAGUGGCGAAGGCGACUACCUGGACUGAUACUGACACUGAGGUGCGAAAGCGUGGGGAGCAAAC